AGAAAUCCAUGCAUAAAGUCUUGGUGCCUUCAAGAAAUUGAAAGACAUUUAGUGUGGCUGUAGGACAGGCAGGAAAGAGAAUUUGGAAAGAGCCUGCUGGCUGCAGAUGGAGAUGGCCCCUAUGGUUUGAAGUUUUAAGCUGAGUCUCUGCAAUGGAAAGACCUUUGUCUUUCCUGUGUCCGGUGUGGGGGAGUGGACUCUUCUGGGUGAGUCACCACCAAAUGCCCAGAGGUGGGUGCAGACUUCCUUCCUGCACUGGGGUUGGGGGGACGAUUGGCGCCCACUGUGCUGACCACCUCUUCAUGCAGCUGCAGGUGGGGUGGGCUUUGAGGCCGGAAGCCAAAAAUGAGUAGGAG
RNAcentral lists this long non-coding RNA (356 nucleotides) under Homo sapiens (human). Its description in RNAcentral is "HSALNT0038068". Lineage: Eukaryota; Metazoa; Chordata; Mammalia; Primates; Hominidae. The record is from RNAcentral.